CGCUCCGGAGCGAACUGCGCGCAGCGUCCGGGAAAGAAGGCUUCAGGAGCUGAGACUGCGACCGAAAAUAAUAAUGGAAGCAGGUUGGAAGGAAUCUUUUCCUGCAUCUUGUGUCAUGCCUCUGCUCAACGAUGAGUCAUUACAGAGUUGCAGUGCCAAAGGCUAUCUGUCCUCCCAGGAGUUCAACCUGAAAUUCCUAGCUGGAAAUGUUGUCGUCUUGUGUCCUUUGUCAGUAGUACUGAAGAUUUAAUUGUUGCGCAUCAAGAAACAAGUUCUAUCUCUUGUCCCAUGAGAUGCACUCUUAAUUAUGGCAAGAUCUUUACUUGCAGCAAUCUUUGUUCCCGUGAAUGGUGGUGGUGUUUUGGUUUUCUUUGG
This 375-nucleotide long non-coding RNA is filed under the name Gallus gallus (chicken). RNAcentral's name for it is "lncRNA (ENSGALG00010002966.1)". Lineage: Eukaryota; Metazoa; Chordata; Aves; Galliformes; Phasianidae. The record is from RNAcentral.